Molecule: ribosomal RNA, 253 nt
Filed under: uncultured bacterium
Lineage: Bacteria
Description: partial 16S ribosomal RNA
Rfam family: Bacterial small subunit ribosomal RNA
Source: RNAcentral
UACGUAGGGCGCAAGCGUUAUCCGGAAUUACUGGGCGUAAAGCGUGCGCAGGCGGUUUUGUAAGUCUGUCGUGAAAGCCCCGGGCUCAACCUGGGAAUUGCGAUGGAGACUGCAAGGCUUGAAUCUGGCAGAGGGGGGUAGAAUUCCACGUGUAGCAGUGAAAUGCGUAGAGAUGUGGAGGAACACCGAUGGCGAAGGCAGCCCCCUGGGUCAAGAUUGACGCUCAUGCACGAAAGCGUGGGGAGCAAACAGG